CCUUCGAUAGCUCAGCUGGUAGAGCGGAGGACUGUAGAGCGUUAAAAGGCAUCCUUAGGUCGCUGGUUCAACUCCGGCUCGAAGGA
RNAcentral lists this transfer RNA (86 nucleotides) under Pelodiscus sinensis (Chinese soft-shelled turtle). It matches the Rfam family "tRNA". From Rfam's summary of the family: Transfer RNA (tRNA) molecules are approximately 80 nucleotides in length. Their secondary structure includes four short double-helical elements and three loops (D, anti-codon, and T loops). Lineage: Eukaryota; Metazoa; Chordata; Testudines; Trionychidae. The record is from Rfam by way of RNAcentral.